RNAcentral lists this transfer RNA (73 nucleotides) under Cylindrotelphusa sp. FB-1. Its description in RNAcentral is "tRNA-Val". Lineage: Eukaryota; Metazoa; Arthropoda; Malacostraca; Decapoda; Gecarcinucidae. The record is from RNAcentral.
CAAAGUAUAGCUAAAAUAGUUUAGUAUUUUAUUUACAUUAAAAUGAAUUAUCGUGCAAAUCGGUUUACUUUGA